UACGAAGGGGGCUAGCGUUGCUCGGAAUCACUGGGCGUAAAGCGCAUGUAGGCGGCUUUGUAAGUCUGAUGUGAAAUCCCUGGACUCAAUUCAGGAACUGCAUUGGAUACUGCAAGGCUAGAGUACGGGAGAGGUAGGUGGAAUUCCUGGUGUAGAGGUGAAAUUCGUAGAUAUCAGGAGGAACAACAGAGGCGAAGGCGACUUACUGGACCGUAACUGACGCUGAGAUGCGACAGUGUGGGGAGCAAACAGG
RNAcentral lists this ribosomal RNA (253 nucleotides) under uncultured bacterium. RNAcentral's name for it is "partial 16S ribosomal RNA". It matches the Rfam family "Bacterial small subunit ribosomal RNA", at positions 524 to 776 of the family's 1533-position model. The record is from RNAcentral.